RNAcentral lists this ribosomal RNA (238 nucleotides) under uncultured bacterium. RNAcentral's name for it is "partial 16S ribosomal RNA". It matches the Rfam family "Bacterial small subunit ribosomal RNA", at positions 338 to 573 of the family's 1533-position model. The record is from RNAcentral.
CCUACGGGGGGCAGCAGUGAGGAAUAUUGGUCAAUGGGCGCGAGCCUGAACCAGCCAAGUCGCGUGAGGGAAGACGGUCCUAUGGAUUGUAAACCUCUUUUUUCUUUGAGCAAACCUCUCCACUAGUUGCGAAAUGAGAGUACCCGAAGAAAAAGCAUCGGCUAACUCCUUGCCAUCAGCCGCGGUAAUACUUAGGAUGCUCUCUUUAUCCGUCUUUAUUGUGUUUACCUGGUUCUUA